RNAcentral lists this ribosomal RNA (1532 nucleotides) under Escherichia coli. Its description in RNAcentral is "partial 23S ribosomal RNA". It matches the Rfam family "Bacterial large subunit ribosomal RNA", at positions 173 to 1746 of the family's 2925-position model. The record is from RNAcentral. Lineage: Bacteria; Pseudomonadati; Pseudomonadota; Gammaproteobacteria; Enterobacterales; Enterobacteriaceae.
AAUGAGGCGAACCGGGGGAACUGAAACAUCUAAGUACCCCGAGGAAAAGAAAUCAACCGAGAUUCCCCCAGUAGCGGCGAGCGAACGGGGAGCAGCCCAGAGCCUGAAUCAGUGUGUGUGUUAGUGGAAGCGUCUGGAAAGGCGCGCGAUACAGGGUGACAGCCCCGUACACAAAAAUGCACAUGCUGUGAGCUCGAUGAGUAGGGCGGGACACGUGGUAUCCUGUCUGAAUAUGGGGGGACCAUCCUCCAAGGCUAAAUACUCCUGACUGACCGAUAGUGAACCAGUACCGUGAGGGAAAGGCGAAAAGAACCCCGGCGAGGGGAGUGAAAAAGAACCUGAAACCGUGUACGUACAAGCAGUGGGAGCACGCUUAGGCGUGUGACUGCGUACCUUUUGUAUAAUGGGUCAGCGACUUAUAUUCUGUAGCAAGGUUAACCGAAUAGGGGAGCCGAAGGGAAACCGAGUCUUAACUGGGCGUUAAGUUGCAGGGUAUAGACCCGAAACCCGGUGAUCUAGCCAUGGGCAGGUUGAAGGUUGGGUAACACUAACUGGAGGACCGAACCGACUAAUGUUGAAAAAUUAGCGGAUGACUUGUGGCUGGGGGUGAAAGGCCAAUCAAACCGGGAGAUAGCUGGUUCUCCCCGAAAGCUAUUUAGGUAGCGCCUCGUGAAUUCAUCUCCGGGGGUAGAGCACUGUUUCGGCAAGGGGGUCAUCCCGACUUACCAACCCGAUGCAAACUGCGAAUACCGGAGAAUGUUAUCACGGGAGACACACGGCGGGUGCUAACGUCCGUCGUGAAGAGGGAAACAACCCAGACCGCCAGCUAAGGUCCCAAAGUCAUGGUUAAGUGGGAAACGAUGUGGGAAGGCCCAGACAGCCAGGAUGUUGGCUUAGAAGCAGCCAUCAUUUAAAGAAAGCGUAAUAGCUCACUGGUCGAGUCGGCCUGCGCGGAAGAUGUAACGGGGCUAAACCAUGCACCGAAGCUGCGGCAGCGACGCUUAUGCGUUGUUGGGUAGGGGAGCGUUCUGUAAGCCUGUGAAGGUGUGCUGUGAGGCAUGCUGGAGGUAUCAGAAGUGCGAAUGCUGACAUAAGUAACGAUAAAGCGGGUGAAAAGCCCGCUCGCCGGAAGACCAAGGGUUCCUGUCCAACGUUAAUCGGGGCAGGGUGAGUCGACCCCUAAGGCGAGGCCGAAAGGCGUAGUCGAUGGGAAACAGGUUAAUAUUCCUGUACUUGGUGUUACUGCGAAGGGGGGACGGAGAAGGCUAUGUUGGCCGGGCGACGGUUGUCCCGGUUUAAGCGUGUAGGCUGGUUUUCCAGGCAAAUCCGGAAAAUCAAGGCUGAGGCGUGAUGACGAGGCACUACGGUGCUGAAGCAACAAAUGCCCUGCUUCCAGGAAAAGCCUCUAAGCAUCAGGUAACAUCAAAUCGUACCCCAAACCGACACAGGUGGUCAGGUAGAGAAUACCAAGGCGCUUGAGAGAACUCGGGUGAAGGAACUAGGCAAAAUGGUGCCGUAACUUCGGGAGAAGG